RNAcentral lists this ribosomal RNA (253 nucleotides) under uncultured bacterium. Its description in RNAcentral is "partial 16S ribosomal RNA". It matches the Rfam family "Bacterial small subunit ribosomal RNA", at positions 524 to 776 of the family's 1533-position model. The record is from RNAcentral.
UACGGGGGGGGCAAGCGUUGUUCGGAAUUACUGGGCGUAAAGCGUGCGCAGGCGGUCUUGCAAGACAGAUGUGAAAUCCCCGGGCUCAACCUGGGAACUGCAUUUGUGACUGCAAGGCUGGAGUGCGGCAGAGGGGGAUGGAAUUCCGCGUGUAGCAGUGAAAUGCGUAGAUAUGCGGAGGAACACCGAUGGCGAAGGCAAUCCCCUGGGCCUGCACUGACGCUCAUGCACGAAAGCGUGGGGAGCAAACAGG